UACGUAGGGUGCGAGCGUUAAUCGGAAUUACUGGGCGUAAAGCGGGCGCAGCCGGUUCGUUAAGCAAGAUGUGAAAUGCCCGGGCUCAACCUGGGAAAUGCGUUUUGAACUGGCGGACUUGAGUGUGGGAGAGGGGGGUAGAAUUCCACGUGUAGCAGUGAAAUGCGUAGAGAUGUGGAGGAAUACCGAUGGCGAAGGCAGCUCCCUGGGCUAACACUGACGUUCAUGCCCGAAAGCGUGGGUAGCAAACAGG
Molecule: ribosomal RNA, 253 nt
Filed under: uncultured bacterium
Lineage: Bacteria
Description: partial 16S ribosomal RNA
Rfam family: Bacterial small subunit ribosomal RNA
Source: RNAcentral